RNAcentral lists this long non-coding RNA (6191 nucleotides) under Sus scrofa (pig). RNAcentral's name for it is "lncRNA (ENSSSCG00065004712.1)". Lineage: Eukaryota; Metazoa; Chordata; Mammalia; Artiodactyla; Suidae. The record is from RNAcentral.
UCACAACUUCAGCUCCUGAGCAGCCCAAAAGAGAGAGAGAACUAAUAAAAAAUUUAAAACAUUCAACCAAGGAAAAGAAAAAUUAAUGAACAAGAAACUAGAAAAAGAAUUUUAAAUGGAAUCGAUAAUCCAAUAAUCUGAUUUUUAACAGAUCAGUAGUAUAGAGAGAGAAACUUUGGAAAAGCAUUUGAAGUUCAGGCUUGUGUCCUGUUGUUACCCCAGGAUGUAGACUGUGUCUUUCUUAUUAGAUGGCUACGUCCUUUUAUGGACAUGGCAAGCUAUAAAUCACACCUUAAAAGGUCACAAAAGAUUGCUUCUGUACCCAUAAAGUUAUAAGGGUGAUUUAUCUGAUUUCUCCAUAGUUCCAACAGGGGUUCUGAAUGACCUUUUAUCUAUCUUGCUUAAAGCACAGAUUGAUGAGGAUGAGAGCUCCAAGCCUAGGCUAUGUCCACUUUCAAGUGGUUGCUAGCCUCUGUGAGGGCAGACCAAGUCACAGUAUCUUUGAAACCAAAUGAAAGUUAAGUAUCUCCUCCUCAGAAAAAAAUAUGCCCACAUAGUUUGUGUCCCACCAUCAGUGAGGUCAUGAGUCUCCCUUGUGUACCAUUCCGUCCAGAAAUGGUGCCAGGAACACGACAUGACAUUUCAAUGAGGCUCUGAAGCAGUGGUUCUCAGAUUUUUUAGUUAGUGCCCUUUUACAAUCUUAAAAUUAUAGCAGACCCCAAAAGGCAUUUGUGGGCAUGGGGAAGAGCUCUCAGUAGUUAAUCAUAUUCAAUUUUUAAAAAAAGUUAAAAAUUAAUUUUAAAAUAAUAGUAAACCCAUUUUAUGUUAAUAUAAAAAAACAGAAUUUUAAGAAAAACUUCCAGAGCAACAAAAUAAGUUACAUAUUUUUUUGUAACGUUGCAAAUCUCUUCAGUAUCUGGUUUAAUAGCUCAAUUCCAGUUCAAUAUAUUCAUAUCUGCCUGUGCUGGUCACACAUCAUGUAUCCCCUGAAAAACUACAGUGUACACACACUUAAUAAGACUAAAAAGGCCAAUAAUGUCUAAGUAUUGUAAAAAUAAUUUUGACCUUGCAGAACCCCUAAAAGUCUCUAGAACCCCCAUCUGGAUGUCCCUGCAUCACAUUUUGAGAGAUUUUUUUUUCUCCAAGAAAUUCUAUAGAACAUUAAUCCUUCAAAAGGUUAACAGAUAUCAAACCAAAGGGGAAAAAAGCAUAUCCAAAUGAUUUGGGGAAAAUAUGUUAUACAUUACAGGAUUUCUGAGACUUUGUAUUCAAGAUCAGUAGGAAAAAUACGGGUACAGGGAAUAGGGAGGAGCUGCUGCAUUACACAAGAUGGCCACUGGAUGGCACUGCUUUCCCACUCAGAAGACUUCAUUAUCUGCAUCAGGAAAUGGCUCCUAGCUUUUGGAAGCCCAAAUUCCCUGGAAAGCUGAAAGACUUGUACAGUACUUUUAAAAUGUUUAAAAAUAAAGUAAUAAUUGGAGUUCUUGUCAUGGCUUAGCGGUUAACAAACUCGGCUUGGAUCCAUGAAGAUGCAGGUUCAAUCCCUGACCUCAUUCAGUGGGUUAAGGAUCCGGGGUUGUCAUGAGCUGUGGUGUAGGCCUCAGAGCUGGCUCGAAUCUGGUGUUGCUAUGGCAGUGGUGUAGGCCAGUGACCAUAGCUUUGAUUCGUCCCCUAGCCUGGGAACCUCCAUAUGUCACAGGUGCGGUCCUGGAAAGCAAAAAAAAAUUAAAAUAAAAAUUUUUUAAAUAAUAAAGCAGUGAUUAAAAGUUGCAUAGAAGGUAAUAUAACAUCAUCUCAUUUCUUCUCAAUGCAAAGGAUAUUUUUCAUUUUAUCCCAAAGGGCUUCUAGCUUGUCAAAAACGGCAGAGAACUUUGGAAGUAACUCCCAAGUUCAUGACACUGAGUGAAGAAUCUGAAGGGUCCAGAAUGUGGAGAUUGGACAGAGUCUCUGACCUCAAAGAGCUCAGUUAGAAUGUAAGAGAAACCAGAAUGUUUUUGGUCAAUAUUCUAAGUCUGGUCAGUGUUGAUUCAGCUUUACAGUGGUUCGAAGUUAAGCGGACUAGUUGGGUAUGUCUGCACUGAGUGGGGGGUGGGGACUUUGCAAAAGCUUUUUGGAAGGGCUGACAGCUCCUUUACUGUGCUGAUAGGCUCUUUGGGUAGCCAUUCAAGUGAAGGAAGAUCCUGGUGGCAGUUUGGGGGUGACAUUUCACCUGUCCACAGUAACGUACUCAUACAGAGAGUGACCUGACCCCACCCAUCUUUUUUGACCUCCAAGCUGCCUCACCGUGAACGUGGCUCUGGUUCAGAACCUCAAAGUUCAGAGAGAAAAGAAUGUCCCAGAGCAAAAGUCUGGAGAAGGUCAGUGCCUGAGAUAUUCUGGCCACCAAAAGUUCAUUUUUGCAGGCUGGUGUGUAGGAUCUGAAAGCUGUAAGGGGAGGGUAGUGGCUGGUGAGGUAGUGGGCAGGUUGGGAAUUGGAGUUUCUUCCUGGGGGCAGUGGAGAGCCAGUGAGGGGUUUUAGGGAGAUACCAUACUCUGUGCCCUGCACUGCCUUAAGUGCUGGGGUGAAAAUGACAGGGUAGUCAAGGCUAUUACAAGAGUGGUGUGUAUAUAAACAGCUAACACACACUAUACACCAGUCAUUAAUAUUAACUCAUUUAAUCCUCUUAACUACCCUGUAAAGAAGGAGCUCUUAUCCCCUCUCUCUUGCGAGAAGGAAAAAGUGAGGCACAAAGGUUAAGGGACUUAACCCAUAUGUGGCAGAGCCAAGCUCCAGCCGCUGUUUAACUACCUCAUCGUAGGUCCCCACUCAUAAAAGGGAACAAAUGAUCCUAAAGUGCUACAGCUACUCUGCCGGACAUCAGUUGGGUCCAGUAGGAUCCCAGAGAGGGGAUGUUAAAACUCUACUGAGACUGGGGCAGAAAGAGAAAUUGCAGAGCGAAAUUGAUACAAGACUUGAGUUGAAUCCGACCGUUGAGUUUGUGUUGACAGCAUAGAGAGGGGAGGGGCAAGUGGGAGGACGUUUCCUACAGAAGCAACAAGGCCAGUCUGCAAAGACAGAGGGAACCUGGGUCAAAGCUGCAUGUAGUUACCUUUGUCUGGAGUCUAAGGAACUUGUGGCUACGAGGAAAUCUGGACACGUAACUGGUGGCCAGGUGAUGCUGGAAUCACGUACUCCAGUCAAAAAAUUUACCUUGUUCCUAUUAAUCGUAGAUGGUUGGAUUCAGUCCAUUUUUCACAUAUCUCAAGAUCAUUUAGGAGACUGCCCCUCCAUCCCAGCUAUUAAUCUGCCUUCUCAGGUUCUGACAUGUAGGAACUUGAUUUUCUUUUAAAAAAAAGUCUUCAUCUGAUUCAUGGUUAAAAAUAUUGACUUGGGACAAAAAAAUAUUUAGGAUAAAGAGAACAGUUUGCAGUUUUGACACAAGUCUCCCCUAUGUCUUUGCAGACUGGCCUUGAUUCUUCUGAGUACUUGUGCAAGUGAUAGACACCAUUGUUUGUGGUUAAUCAGGCAGUUACAACAGUGACCUCAUGGAAAUGUCACCAAGCCUGCGUGUCUUCUCCACAGGGACAGCAGGAAGACGGAUAUUUAAUUGCAAUUGAGACCCUGUGUGCACAGAUUUUACUUAGUCUCUCAAUCUCAUAACCAUGAAGGGUAAAAAUGCGAGAUUAUUCUUGUGUGACUUUCUCACGAAUUCACGUUGAUGUCUUACCGUUAUCCCUUUUCUUCUCUAAAGCCAUCUCUUUGAAAGUCCAUUCUAGGAUUUAAACUAACCAAUGAGCCAUUGUUCUGUAGCAUUAGACUCUAUCCCAUUUCUGGAAAUCAGACUAACCUUUGCUUGUUUGAAUGACCCCAGCAGCAAUUCCAUUACCCUCAGUUCAGAGUCUAAUUCCCGAUUUCUCCCAACACCUGCUGACCUGUUCGCUCUGGGUUCAUGGCAGACAAGCCCCUUGAUGACCUGGAUUCUUGUUCCAUCGCCGUCUCUUCCUCCCUCUCUUUAGCACGAUCCUCAGCACACCACACUGUCGGAGAUCUGUGUGUUUGUACACAGUCUUUCCUCUCCCGUGAAGACAGCUUCCUCCUCUCCACCCAGGGAACUUGGAGUUAUUCUUUUCAAAAAAGAUUUCAUCUAAGUUAUACAUAUUCUAAAAAGUCAAAUGGGAAUAAACAUUAUUAUUGGCAGUUUCCUGACCUUCCCCUUCUCCCUCCUUCAUUCCCGCUUCCCAGAGGCAACCCUUUGUGGCUGCUUUAUCGGGCAUUUACUUGCACGUUGCUAAAUAACACAUUUCUACGCCCAACCUCUUGAUUUUCAGUUUUAGGAGUUACCUAUUGAAUGCUCGCCCUGGAAGAUGAAGAUUUAGCUCUCUCUAGCACCUCCCACACCCACCUCCACAAUUUUCCUCUCCUCAGUCUCCCAAUAGACUUAUAUCAUCAUUUUGUGUUAGAUCAGGGUUCAAUGUUUACAUAAUUAUGACUAUAUUCACAGCACGCCCGUGUGGGAAAGCAUGGUUACAUUUCCUUUCUUGUAUAACUUUUAAUUUUCCCUGGAGUUAAUAAUCAUCUUGUUUCUUCAUUUGCGUAGUUUUCUGUUCACCCACCACUAAUUCCUACCUCGAUGUUCUUCCAUAUGUAAAUUUCUUCUCAGUAUAUUCACAUGCAUUUCAUCAAGUUCACCUUCUUGGACCUGUUUCUCCCCAGUCUGUAUCCCCUCUACUUUAGGGCUGAGGAGACUCUGUUUUCCUGCUUUUUCCUCCUCCUCCUCCUAGAGUCAUUUCCCUCUCUUCUGUGCUGGGUCCCUUGGUUCCUGGAUCCCAUGUCGUCUUAUCAUGAAUCACUUCUCUUUGCCAGACCAUUUCCUGAAGUAGCUUCCUAAGAAAAUGUCCAUGGGAGGUUAAGUUUUUGAAAGCAUGUAUGUCUGGAAACACAUUUGUUCUUCUCUCGCAUUUGAUUGAUAGUUUGGCCAUGUAUAGAAUUCUGGGCUGGAGAUUAUUUUCCUUUUGAGUGUUGAAGGCACUGCUUCAUGUUUUCUAGCUUCCAGUGCUGUUGCCAGUGGUUUAGUGAUAAAGGCAAAGAAGAAAACUAGGCAACUCUUACACCAUUCAGACUCUGGAUCCUUUGUAUAUGGCCUUCUGAAAACAUCCGGGUCUUCUGCCCCUAGAGUUCUGACGUUUUAUAAUGAUGUGCUUGAUGUGAGUCUGUGUUCUUCCUUUGUGCUGGCCACUGGUGUACUUUUACAAUCCAGAAGUCAAUGUCUUCAAGUCUGAGAAAGAGUCUUGAAUUUGUUAUGUGACAACUUCUGUUUUUGCCACUCCCUCUUUCUGGAGUUCCUUGGAAUUCCUGGGCUAUUUCUCUAAUACCAUUCUUUUUCUCUGUGUGUGUUUUGUUCUAUUCUCUGGGGUAUCUCUUCAACUUAUUUUCCCAAUGUUUUUCAGUCUUCCUGCUUUUUUUUAUUUCCAAGAGUGCUUUAUUUUUUGGUCCUAUAAGUGCCCUCACUUCUUUGUAGAGCAUCUUGAUUUUUUUCACUAAUAAAAUGCUUUCCAUUCUAAGACUAUUGAAAAACAUAUACAAGUUUAUAGUUUCCUUUCCCAUGAAUUUUCUUGAUAAAUGGAUAAAGAAGAUGUGGUAUAUAUAUAUACACACAUACACAUAAUGGAAUAUUAUGCAGCCUGAAAAAUAAUGAAAUAAUGCAUUUGCAGCAACAUGGAUGGACCUAGAGAUUAUCACAUUAAGUGAAGUAAGAAAGAGAAAGACAAACACCAUAUGAUAUCACCUGUGUGUGGAAUCUAAAAUAUGACACAAAUGAACCUAUGUCAAAACAGAAACAGACUCACAAACAUAGAGAACAGACUUGUGUUUGCCAAGGAUGGGGGAUGGACUGGGAGUUUGGGGUUAGCAGAUGCAAACUAUUAUGUAUGGAAUGGAGAAACAACAAGGUCCACAGGGAACUACAUUCAAUAUCCUGUGAUAAACAUGAAUGGAGGAGUUCCUGUCAUGGCUCAGUGGUUAACGAAUCUGAUUAGGAACCAUGAGGUUGCGGGUUAAAUCCCUGGCCUUGCUCAGUGGGUUAAGAAUCUGGCAUGGCUGUGAGCUGUGGUGUGGGUCGCAGACGUGGCUCAGAUCCCGAGCUGCUGUGGCUCUGGCGUAGGCCAGUGGCUACAGCUCUGAUUCGACCCCUAGUCUGGGAACUUCCAUAUGC